GAUGAACGCUGGCGGCGUGCCUAAUACAUGCAAGUCGAGCGAACAGACGAGGAGCUUGCUCCUCUGACGUUAGCGGCGGACGGGUGAGUAACACGUGGAUAACCUACCUAUAAGACUGGGAUAACUUCGGGAAACCGGAGCUAAUACCGGAUAAUAUAUUGAACCGCAUGGUUCAAUAGUGAAAGACGGUUUUGCUGUCACUUAUAGAUGGAUCCGCGCCGCAUUAGCUAGUUGGUAAGGUAACGGCUUACCAAGGCGACGAUGCGUAGCCGACCUGAGAGGGUGAUCGCCCACACUGGAACUGAGACACGGUCCAGACUCCUACGGGAGGCAGCAGUAGGGAAUCUUCCGCAAUGGGCGAAAGCCUGACGGAGCAACGCCGCGUGAGUGAUGAAGGUCUUCGGAUCGUAAAACUCUGUUAUUAGGGAAGAACAAUUGUGUAAGUAACUAUGCACGUCUUGACGGUACCUAAUCAGAAAGCCACGGCUAACUACGUG
This 497-nucleotide ribosomal RNA is filed under the name uncultured bacterium. Its description in RNAcentral is "partial 16S ribosomal RNA". It matches the Rfam family "Bacterial small subunit ribosomal RNA", at positions 28 to 507 of the family's 1533-position model. The record is from RNAcentral.